Molecule: ribosomal RNA, 406 nt
Filed under: uncultured bacterium
Lineage: Bacteria
Description: partial 16S ribosomal RNA
Rfam family: Bacterial small subunit ribosomal RNA
Source: RNAcentral
AUCGAACGCUGGCGGCAGGCCUAACACAUGCAAGUCGAACGAGUGGCGGACGGGUGAGUAACGCGUGGGAAACCGCCUGAUGGAGGGGGAACACCACUGGAAACGGUCGCUUAUACCGCAAUCCAUCGGUUGUGGCCAGAUGGGAUUGGCUAGUGGGUGGGGUAACGGCUAAUCUAGGCGACGAUCCCUAGCCGGGUCGAGAGGAUGACCGCCAACACGGGAACUGAGACACGGUCCAGACUCUUACGGGAGGCAGCAGGGGGGAAUAUUCCACAAGGGGCGAAAGCCUGAGGCAGCAAGGCCGCGUGGUUGAAGAGGGCCUUCGGGUUGUAAAGUACUUUAAGCGGGGAGGCGGUACCCGAAGAGAAAGCAACGGCUAACUACGUGCCAGCAGCCGCGGUAAUUC